Hippocampus zosterae (dwarf seahorse) is the source of this 3379-nucleotide long non-coding RNA. RefSeq lists it as uncharacterized. The record is from RefSeq and is a predicted model, not a curated record. Lineage: Eukaryota; Metazoa; Chordata; Actinopteri; Syngnathiformes; Syngnathidae. The transcript has 2 exons.
UUAUAAACAUAAAAGCUACAAUAAAUAAAUAAAUCGAACUGGAAUUAUAGUGUCAAAUAGAUUGUCCUUUGAAGCCUACUUACACAGCUGUGCACAUACUGUAUGCACAAUGUACAUAAAAGGACAGUGCACAUGGCAUCUAAUUCUAUACAGGGCUCCCCAGAAGGUAUACAGCAUGACUAAAUACACAAAGCAAUCACAUGACCGAUGUCACAUUGCUGGAGAGUGCACCAGAUACCCAACUAUUAAUGAAAGGCAUCCACAAUGACAGCGCUGAUGAGUGAGGUGACCGUGGCCCCCUGGCUUUAAAAUGUUCUAACUACCAAUGUCAAGCACAAAAGUACAGGGUUAGGUUUGGAGUGCCAUUUAUUUGUCAGUUAAUUUGCAGAAUCCCACACAAGGUGUCUGAUUUAGUAAGACCCCCAAAAAGCGGGGGGCUAAAUUGUGUGUCCACUCAAACAGACUGCCUGUGCUGUGGGUGGACAUGUUGCACGUGAUCUAAGACCCGCCACACACUGAGCAAGGCACUGAUGCGCGUAACUGGACAAUCAUGAACAAAUUAAGUCAACGACUAACCAUUGCAGACGUGGCGGCGAACACGCUUUUCAUUUUGCCGAGGCAUCCUCCUCGCCACAAUAACCGCAAUCAUCGUUAAGCACAUCAGUGGCGGUGUCCACCUGCCUUUCAGACAACUAUACAAAAUCCCACAUCAUCAAUUUAAUUCUUCAAUGUAUUUACCUACACUCUUCCCAGAAUGCACAUUUAAUUUAAAUUCAGCACAUUUGGCAAACGCUAAACUGUGUGCAACUAAUUUGAAGGUCAGCCGCCAAAUCUGUCUGCCUGAGCAAUCAAUAUUGUGCCUCUUAUUGCAGAAGCAAACCUGGAAUUAAAGAAGCGCAUAAACUUUACCUCUUCUAGACACUUACUGUAGUCAGACUGAAGCAAAGCUCUUUAAAUGCAAGCACAACUUCAAUAUGUCUGUCAAAAAAACAUCUGCAAAACUGAUUCAACUUGCAUAAUGUCACGAUUCCACUCUGUUAAAUGUCCAGCAGGUGGCAGAGGUGCACCUGUCACCCAUCAUCAACACUUCACUUAAGACGCUCACACCGACGCCCGAUAAUAGCCUUGCUCAAGUCAUUGGCUGAGUGCUGUUUUCUCGAGGUUCAACGUUAUUGCGCCAUAGUUCUCUUGCCUCAUUCUGUAUUUUUCCAUGCAAGUGGAACCAUUGUUUUUUUAUUGUAAAGAUGUAUAGGUUUGUCACAUUGUCCUUACGUGACAAGCUAUUUCUAUUUAUCUUCUCCUUGCUUUUUGCAAGCGCUUUUUGUUCUCGUUUUUAUUCUGGUUAUUGUUCGCUUUGGAUUCAGGAGUGGAGGCUGUGGUGUCCUAGCGCUCCCCAGUUGACCAGAAACUCCUGCGGAUUCUUCUGUUGUGGACUCACGCAAGCCAAGAAAAACUAUGACCCAUUCACGAUGUGCACUGACCAUAUAACCUUGCCUCGAUUCGAUCUGCCAAGUGACUCAGGGCCGUUACGGAUGGGCACUGUUAUUUAUCCAUUAUAAGUUCACAUUAACUUACCGCAACGGGUCCGAGUAUACUAAACCUGACACUCUAUCUAUAAUCUACGACCCUAAUGAGGAGAGAGCUGAUCCGGAAAACAUCUUGACAGACCAUUUCAUUUUGGGGGCGUUGAGGUGGGAAAUUGAGCAGAGGAUUGAAGAGGCUCAAGAAGCAGUCACAAUUCCUAUUGGGUGCCCGGCAGGGAAGUUUAGAGACAGCGUUACGGUGGGUGUGCUUACAACAACCCGCGUCAUGGGCUCCACAUUUCCCAUGGGUAGAGUUUGCGCACAAAGCCCUCGUGCCUCUGCUACAGGCUGGUCUUCCUUAAUAAAUGUCCGCUUAUGGAUAUCAACCACCUCUGUUCUCGUCGCAGGAUUAGUCGGAAUUCCCUCCGUUCAGCGGACUCAUAAGAUAUGCAGAGAUACCAGAGGCGCUUUGUCAUGCUCCGCAUCCUGCAAUAUAGAAGACCGUCGACACCGCCCCACUCCUGAAUAUCAAGUAAGAAAGAAGGUUCGGCUGUCGACGUGGGACUUGCAUUUGGCCGGAGCCACACGCAAGCUGGGACUGAGGUUCACGGGAUCGUUUGAAGUGGAGGCUAUAAUAAAUCCUGUGUACAUCAAGCUCCGGCUACUACCCUCCAUGAAGGUCCAUCCUGUUUUCCAUGUCUCUCUACUGAAACCUAUGCCAUCAAGUCCUCUCUCUCCGUCCCCUCCUGCGCAGGUAUUUUACUGAAACCUGCGAAGGCAGUCUUGAUUCAGUCUCAAUACGACAUCGGCUUUGGACUCGGAGUUCAGAACAUUUAGAGACAAAAUUCAGUUAAAAUUAUCCCCCAAAUUAACAAAAAACUGAUUAAUUGUUUUCUAUUUUUCCCCAAUAAUCAAUUGCGGACAUUUACCAUAAUGCCAAUACUUUUUAGGACUUGAGUGGAACAGUAUUGACUGUCCAGUGUGGAGUUUUGAUACUGAUAUUUUGGAUAGAUUGGCUCCAUACUCUGGUAUGCUACGUACGGUAGGAUUCACAGUUUUACAGCAAUUCAGUUGUUGGUUUGGGAGUGACUCUGAGCUUGUGCGUUUUACUCCUGCUGUGACUGAAAAGAGGCUGUCGACACUAAUCAAACGGCUUUUAGCUCCUAUUUUCUAAUUACAUAGGGCCACACCAUCAACAGUGGAAGUUUCUGUCAUACCCACUGUGAAAGUCCAAAUCGAACACCAUUAAGACCCUCGGCCUAUAAUGCGCAACAUGAUCGCUUACUACAGCCCUCUCAUUAAAAAUGUUUGGAUUUGCCUCGCCAGCAUUCAUUCUGAGACUUCCGUUUAAACAUUUCUACGAGCAUACUGUAAAUAAAUGCAUAUGGGCAUGCGAUUAACCACAGUAAAGAGACUCCGGAGAUGAUAAAAGCAGUCACAGUGAAAGAGUACAAAGACAAACUACAAUGUGGAGAAGUGAGAACCAGAAGAGAAAGUGUGUCGUACCCUAGUGGGGGAAAAAAUGAACUAGUGAACUGAUUGAGAAGGGGAAGAAAGGAGUGGAGGUUUCAUCCUUUAUGUGGCAGUGUUUCUCUCUGACGCUCGCAAUUGAUGUGGAGAGAUAGAGGGGUUGUCACGUUGAGCCCGAAGCGACAGAAUAAUCGCUCCGUGCACAACUACUAGAGGUAAGUGGAUCCCCGAAAUAGCAGACACGGAAAAGGAAUUUUCUCAUAAAAAAUGAGAUUAUAACACAAAAUCAAAUCAAAAAGAGGGCCAGGAAAUAAUAACGGGGCAACAGAAAACGCUGGUCAAAAAGAGGACCAGGAAAUAACAACGAGGCAAUAGAAAACGCUUGC